CCAUCGAUAAUAACACAACCAGGAACUUGUUCCCGCUCGCCAUAUAUACGCAUGAAUGACAACUCCGUCGUGAUGUGACUUCCGUAAGCCUGGAUAGGAUAACCGGAUCGGAGAUUGGUUUCGGCAAAGAAAACGGAGUCCCAGGAAUCAUGAUAGUUUUGAAGGAAGUAAAUCCAGAGACGAUUAUCUGAUACGAGUGAUCUCCAUAACUUACAAACGAUGCUCAACCUGGCUGCAUCUUUUGGCCCCAACAAUCUCACUAUUUGCAUCACUACAUCUAUCGGUAUUGGAUCAAAAGCUCCGAACGAAGAUAACACGACGUCGCUCGGUGGAUUGGA
RNAcentral lists this unclassified non-coding RNA (338 nucleotides) under Hevea brasiliensis (rubber tree). Lineage: Eukaryota; Viridiplantae; Streptophyta; Magnoliopsida; Malpighiales; Euphorbiaceae. The record is from RNAcentral.